AUACGGAGGGUGCAAGCGUUAAUCGGAAUUACUGGGCGUAAAGAGUACGUAGGUGGUUUGUUAAGUCAGAUGUGAAAGCCCCGGGCUCAACCUGGGAACUGCAUUUGAAACUGGCAAACUAGAGUACGGUAGAGGGGGGUAGAAUUUCUAGUGUAGCGGUGAAAUGUGUAGAUAUUAGAAGGAAUACCAGUGGCGAAGGCGGCCCCCUGGACCAAUACUGACACUGAGGUACGAAAGCGUGGGUAGCGAACAGGAUUAGAAACCCUAGUAGUCC
Molecule: ribosomal RNA, 274 nt
Filed under: uncultured bacterium
Lineage: Bacteria
Description: partial 16S ribosomal RNA
Rfam family: Bacterial small subunit ribosomal RNA
Source: RNAcentral